UUUUUUUUUUUUUUUUUACUUGGUAAGCACUUGAAACAGCUCUAAAAAUGAAACCAUCAGGAAAACAACUGCGACUGAGAGUGGCAGAGUAACUUUGAACUCCUCCACAAGCCAGUGUCAUCAUCAGGACUAUGCACAAAACAAGAAAUCCUUCCACUUUCAUUUCUUCAUCUCUCAAAUCAACCAGAAAAUUAAACCUCAGGUGCACAACUUAUAUAUUGAAUAUGCAGAUUGCUAAUGCUAGCAAAAAACCUGCUACUUUCUCACUCUACCCAAGAACUAGCUAGGCAGCACUUAAUUUUAAUUAAUAUCCUACUUGAUAUCGUAUUAUUAUAUAAUAUAAUAAUACAAUGGUUUGUCACAUGUGUGUGAAUUCAUUCAAAAUUCUUCUCCUAAACUUUUUACCUUUUUUUUAGUUAUAUAUGUCAG
This 429-nucleotide unclassified non-coding RNA is filed under the name Hevea brasiliensis (rubber tree). The record is from RNAcentral. Lineage: Eukaryota; Viridiplantae; Streptophyta; Magnoliopsida; Malpighiales; Euphorbiaceae.